This 514-nucleotide ribosomal RNA is filed under the name uncultured bacterium. RNAcentral's name for it is "partial 16S ribosomal RNA". It matches the Rfam family "Bacterial small subunit ribosomal RNA", at positions 355 to 857 of the family's 1533-position model. The record is from RNAcentral.
UGGGGAAUAUUGCACAAUGGGCGCAAGCCUGAUGCAGCCAUGCCGCGUGUGUGAAGAAGGCCUUCGGGUUGUAAAGCACUUUCAGCGAGGAGGAAGGUGGUGAGCUUAAUACGCUCAUCAAUUGACGUUACUCGCAGAAGAAGCACCGGCUAACUCCGUGCCAGCAGCCGCGGUAAUACGGAGGGUGCAAGCGUUAAUCGGAAUUACUGGGCGUAAAGCGCACGCAGGCGGUUUGUUAAGUCAGAUGUGAAAAUCCCCGGGCUCAACCUGGGAACUGCAUUUGAAACUGGCAAGCUAGAGUCUCGUAGAGGGGGUAGAAUUCCAGGUGUAGCGGUGAAAUGCGUAGAGAUCUGGAGGAAUACCGGUGGCGAAGGCGGCCCCCUGGACGAAGACUGACGCUCAGGUGCGAAAAGCGUGGGGAGCAAAACAGGAUUAGAUACCCUGGUAGUCCACGCUGUAAAACGAUGUCGAUUUUGGAGGUUGUGCCCUUGAGGCGUGGCUUCCGGAGCUAACG